This 277-nucleotide ribosomal RNA is filed under the name uncultured prokaryote. RNAcentral's name for it is "partial 16S ribosomal RNA". It matches the Rfam family "Bacterial small subunit ribosomal RNA", at positions 524 to 801 of the family's 1533-position model. The record is from RNAcentral.
UACGUAGGGGGCUAGCGUUAUCCGGAUUUACUGGGCGUAAAGGGUGCGUAGGCGGUCUUUCAAGUCAGGAGUGAAAGGCUACGGCUCAACCGUAGUAAGCUCUUGAAACUGUAAGACUUGAGUGCAGGAGAGGAGAGUGGAAUUCCCGGUGUAGCGGUGAAAUGCGUAGAGAUUGGGAGGAACACCAGUGGCGAAGGCGACUUACUGGGCCGUAACUGACGUUGAUGCGCGAAAGCGUGGGGAGCGAACAGGAUUAGAUACCCUGGUAGUCCCUGAG